Molecule: long non-coding RNA, 265 nt
Filed under: Ananas comosus (pineapple)
Lineage: Eukaryota; Viridiplantae; Streptophyta; Magnoliopsida; Poales; Bromeliaceae
Description: long non-coding RNA (ACOM_LNC010541)
Source: RNAcentral
UGUGUAGAGGUUGAUCAAGAAAUGAUAGUGAUUAUUAACAAGUUCAAAAAAGGAAACAAAAAAUAUAGUGUAGUAAUUUUUUUUUUUUUAGAGAGAUAGGUAGCACGCUACCCGCUUCGAUUAUUUCAUUUAGAAAUAAAUUUAGUUAGAAAUGUGAAUUAACUAGGAUUCAAACUUGGGACUUCGGAUACCAACCACCAAGCCUUUUGCCACUUACUCUAGGGAUGGUCGGUUAUAGUGUAGUAAAUUGAACAUAACUUUUAAG